This 551-nucleotide long non-coding RNA is filed under the name Homo sapiens (human). Its description in RNAcentral is "HSALNT0209636". Lineage: Eukaryota; Metazoa; Chordata; Mammalia; Primates; Hominidae. The record is from RNAcentral.
AAGCACGUUACACCAAUCAGUUGCAGCUGUGACAUUGCGCCGAGGCUCUGAAGUGGGUAAUUGCAGACCACAGCUAGGCUGGAAUGCUGUGUUUGGGGUGGUCAUUAGAGUCGUGGUCUCUUUAGCGUUAUGAAGCCUACCUUGACUCCUAGGUGUUCAUUGUGAAUCUUGUUGGUGCUGGUAUCGCUGUACCUCUCAAAUAGCUUCCCCAUUUUGACUAAGAAUGAAGAACUUCUUGGACAAAGAACUUGUAAAAAUCAGCCUUCUGCCCCAGCGUCUUCUCCAAAGAUACAGGAGCUUGCUGGACCCACUUGCAAGGGAAGCCUGGAAGUUGGGGAGUUAAUGUCUUCACGGCACUCUCAAUCAGUGAGGCAUGAGGGUCUCUAUCAUGAAAAAGAGGGAUCCCUGACAGAGCCUUCUGACUUGCAAGUGUGAACUACAGCCCAGAACAUUUCAGCCAUCCUGAGCUUCACAUGAAGUUGGGAUCUUGGCAUUAGGGUUUGUAGUAGGUUCCUAGUACUGCUGUAAUAAAGUACCACAAAUGCAGUGGC